RNAcentral lists this ribosomal RNA (446 nucleotides) under uncultured bacterium. RNAcentral describes it as "bacterial SSU rRNA". It matches the Rfam family "Bacterial small subunit ribosomal RNA", at positions 329 to 792 of the family's 1533-position model. The record is from RNAcentral.
GUCCAGACUCCUACGGGAGGCAGCAGUGGGGAAUAUUGCACAAUGGGGGGAACCCUGAUGCAGCAACGCCGCGUGGGUGAAGAAGUACUUCGGUAUGUAAAGCCCUGUCAGCAGGGAAGAAAAUGACGGUACCUGACUAAGAAGCCCCGGCUAACUACGUGCCGGCAGCCGCGGUAAUACGUAGGGGGCAAGCGUUAUCCGGAUUUACUGGGUGUAAAGGGAGCGUAGACGGCGAUGCAAGCCAGAUGUGAAAGCCCGGGGCUCAACCCCGGGACUGCAUUUGGAACUGUGUGGCUGGAGUGUCGGAGAGGCAGGCGGAAUUCCUAGUGUAGCGGUGAAAUGCGUAGAUAUUAGGAGGAACACCAGUGGCGAAGGCGGCCUGCUGGACGAUGACUGACGUUGAGGCUCGAAAGCGUGGGGAGCAAACAGGAUUAGAUACCCCGGUA